UCGCCUGUUUUAUCAAAAACAUCUUCUCUUUUCAAUAAGAGAUAGACUCUGCUCAAUGAUUUAAAUAGCCGCAGUAUUUUGACUGUGCUAAGGUAGCAUAAUAAUUUGUCUUAUAAUAGAAGACUGGAAUGAAAGAGUUGACGUCACUGCAGCUUUCUUAAGAAAAUUUAUAGAACUUGAUAUCUUCCUCAAAAAGUGAAGCUUUCUAAAGGGACGAUAAGACCCUAUAAAGCUUUACUAAUAAGAUUUUUUAGGACUCUCAAUUUAAAAAAUUUAGUUGGUUGAGCUGGGGCGGCAUCUAUUACUCUUUAGAAAAUAAAACAAUGUUAUUUGGUGAGAAAGAUCUUUAAAAAGAUUUAGAAUAAGCUACUUUAGGGAUAACAGCACAAUUUUACCAUAAAGAUCUUAUUGAAGGUAAAGACUUGUGACCUCGAUGUUGAAUUGAAGAGCUUUCUUUAAGCAGAAAUAAAGAUAAGGUGGUCUGUUCGACCUUUAAUUCUUCACGUGAUCUGAGUUCAGACCGG
This 524-nucleotide ribosomal RNA is filed under the name Betamorpha sp. BOLD:ADL4076. Its description in RNAcentral is "partial 16S ribosomal RNA". It matches the Rfam family "Bacterial large subunit ribosomal RNA", at positions 1796 to 2619 of the family's 2925-position model. Lineage: Eukaryota; Metazoa; Arthropoda; Malacostraca; Isopoda; Munnopsidae. The record is from RNAcentral.